This 373-nucleotide ribosomal RNA is filed under the name uncultured organism. Its description in RNAcentral is "partial 16S ribosomal RNA". It matches the Rfam family "Bacterial small subunit ribosomal RNA", at positions 527 to 896 of the family's 1533-position model. The record is from RNAcentral.
GUAGGUGGCAAGCGUUGUCCGGAAUUAUUGGGCGUAAAGCGCGCGCAGGUGGGUUCUUUAAGUCUGAUGUGAAAGCCCCCGGGCUCAACCGGGGAGGGUCAUUGGAAACUGGGGAACUUGAGUGCAGGAGAGGAAAGUGGAAUUCCACGUGUAGCGGUGAAAUGCGUAGAUAUGUGGAGGAACACCAGUGGCGAAGGCGACUUUCUGGCCUGUAACUGACACUGAGGCGCGAAAGCGUGGGGAGCAAACAGGAUUAGAUACCCUGGUAGUCCGCGCCGUAAACGAUGAGUGCUAAGUGUUGGGGGGUUUCCGCCCCUCAGUGCUGCAGCUAACGCAUUAAGCACUCCGCCUGGGGAGUACGGUCGCAAGACUG